AACCUGCGGAGGGAUCAUU
This 19-nucleotide ribosomal RNA is filed under the name Verticillium dahliae. RNAcentral's name for it is "partial 18S ribosomal RNA". The record is from RNAcentral. Lineage: Eukaryota; Fungi; Ascomycota; Sordariomycetes; Glomerellales; Plectosphaerellaceae. RNAcentral also lists the same sequence under 12 other names.